UUAAAUGCAAAGAAAGAGAGUAGUAUGCUUUAAACCGCCAUUCAGGGAGAAAAUGCCUUAGACUGUAAGCAUUUUUAUGGAAGGAAAAGCAGAAUUCACUCUGGAGCAGGCACUGGACCACAAUGUUUCUUUGUGAAGGUGUUUCCGGUUUAAAGCCGUUAAAGCAAUGAAGAUAAUGAAAGAGAGAUCUUUCAUUAAUAAGGGUGGUACCACGAGUCUUCGUCCCUUUU
This 230-nucleotide non-coding RNA is filed under the name Halalkalibacter wakoensis. RNAcentral describes it as "Bacillus wakoensis T-box sequence". It matches the Rfam family "T-box leader". From Rfam's summary of the family: Uncharged tRNA acts as the effector for transcription antitermination of genes in the T-box leader family. T-boxes are found upstream of many aminoacyl-tRNA synthetase genes and some amino acid biosynthetic genes usually in Gram-positive bacteria. Lineage: Bacteria; Bacillati; Bacillota; Bacilli; Caryophanales; Bacillaceae. The record is from RNAcentral.